UGCAACUGAUGAUGAAAUCAAGGCUUGUUUAUCAAAAUAUUUGUAGUUUCCUCCUAAGAGCUUUGCCCAGGCUUGAGAGCUAAUGCUGCUAGAUUUUUUCUUGGAUGUCUAAUGCA
Lolium rigidum is the source of this 116-nucleotide small nucleolar RNA. RefSeq annotates it as small nucleolar RNA SNORD14. The transcript has a single exon. The record is from RefSeq and is a predicted model, not a curated record. Lineage: Eukaryota; Viridiplantae; Streptophyta; Magnoliopsida; Poales; Poaceae.